This 256-nucleotide ribosomal RNA is filed under the name uncultured bacterium. Its description in RNAcentral is "partial 16S ribosomal RNA". It matches the Rfam family "Bacterial small subunit ribosomal RNA", at positions 524 to 776 of the family's 1533-position model. The record is from RNAcentral.
UACGGGGGGGGCUAGCGUUAUUCGGAAUGAUUGGGCGUAAAGCGCACGCAGACGGUUUAUUGAAGCAUUUAAUAAAAGACUAGAGGAUAACUCUUUAUACUAUUAUUUGGACUGAUAGACUGGAGUUUGUAAGAAGAUAGCGGUACUUUUAGAGGAACAGUAAAAUGUGGUGAUACUAAAGGGACCACCAAUAGGCGAAGGCGGCUAUCUAGUACGGAACUGACGUUCAGGUGCAAAGGCAUGGGGAGCAAAUAGG